CUGUCUUUCUCUUUCUUGGUAAAUGUACCAUAUGCCAGCAUCAUAAUUAGUUUGGGAAACACUGGGUAUACGUUCAAAGGGCACUGAGCAACUCUGGGCGUGGAGAGCUACCAGAUGUAGGAGGAUGUUUCUGCUGAGCCAUUAGACACAUGCUUACAGUUGGUAUUGCUGCUUCUGCUCUCCACUUCCUGCUGUGGUGGGCUGUUUUUUUUUGGCUGGCUUGGCUCACGGUGCUAUUGAAGCAAGAAGAUGAAGCAGCGUCCUGUGAAACAGCAGAGGUGGGAGCAGUGUCCUGAGGAAGGAAGCUGAAAUGUGAAUAGGCCUCUCAUCCCAUAUAAAUUGUCUCUUGGCAGGGCUGUGAAGAUCUGAACAUGCAGCUAUUUUAGAGACUGAUCGCAAUGUCACUUCAAGCCUUUGCAACUCUUCUGGCACCAGAGAAAGAAUCUAAUGUGAGUCAUUCCGGAGAAGCUCAAAAUACUCAUAUUUAAAAGUCAGAUACAGACUUACUACAGUGGUGCAUUCCAGAAGUAAGUUAAGCUUUACCUGCCUCAGUGUGGCAUUUUAUGUACAUUGUGUUUACCACAUUUUUCCUUCACUUUUUUCCCCUCAUAUUUUGAAAUAAGUUCAAAAAGAAAAAAAAAAAAAAAGCAUAGUCUUUUCCCC
Molecule: long non-coding RNA, 663 nt
Organism: Cygnus olor (mute swan)
Lineage: Eukaryota; Metazoa; Chordata; Aves; Anseriformes; Anatidae
Exons: 5
Source: RefSeq, a predicted model, not a curated record